Molecule: ribosomal RNA, 292 nt
Filed under: uncultured bacterium
Lineage: Bacteria
Description: partial 16S ribosomal RNA
Rfam family: Bacterial small subunit ribosomal RNA
Source: RNAcentral
GUGCCAGCCGCCGCGGUAAGACGUAGGGAGCGAGCGUUGUCCGGAUUCAUUGGGCGUAAAGCGCGCGUAGGCGGCCUCGCAAGUCGGUUGUGAAAUCCCGGGGCUCAACCCCGGGACUGCGUCCGAUACUGCGAGGCUGGAGGUAGGUAGGGGAGAUCGGAAUUCCUGGUGUAGCGGUGAAAUGCGCAGAUAUCAGGAGGAACACCGGUGGCGAAGGCGGAUCUCUGGGCCUUACCUGACGCUGAGGCGCGAAAGCUAGGGGAGCGAACAGGAUUAGAUACCCGCGUAGUCC